Molecule: ribosomal RNA, 406 nt
Filed under: uncultured bacterium
Lineage: Bacteria
Description: partial 16S ribosomal RNA
Rfam family: Bacterial small subunit ribosomal RNA
Source: RNAcentral
AUUGAACGCUGGCGGCAGGCCUAACACAUGCAAGUCGAGCGAGCGGCGGACGGGUGAGUAAUGUAUGGGGAACUGCCCGGGAGAGGGGGAUAACUACUGGAAACGGUGGCUAAGACCGCAUACUAUCGGAUGAACCCAAAUGGGAUUAGCUAGUAGGGUGGGUAACGGCUAACCUAGGCGACGAUCCCUAGCUGGUCUGAGAGGAUGAACCGCCAGACGGGGACUGAGACACGGCCCAGACUCCUACGGGUGGCAGCAGUGGGGAAUAUUGCACAAUGGGCACAAGCCUGAUGCAGCCAUGCCGCGUGACUGAAGAAGGCCUUCGGGUUGUAAAGUUCUUUCGGUAGCGAGGCGUUAACUACAGAAGAAGCACAGGCUAACUCCGUGCCAGCAGCCGCGGUAAUAC